This 73-nucleotide transfer RNA is filed under the name Phlebia radiata. Its description in RNAcentral is "tRNA-Met(AUG)". It matches the Rfam family "tRNA". Rfam says of the family: Transfer RNA (tRNA) molecules are approximately 80 nucleotides in length. Their secondary structure includes four short double-helical elements and three loops (D, anti-codon, and T loops). Lineage: Eukaryota; Fungi; Basidiomycota; Agaricomycetes; Polyporales; Meruliaceae. The record is from RNAcentral.
AAGAAUAUAGCAUAAUUGGCAAUGCAGUCCGCUCAUAAUGGAUGUUAUCAAGGUUCAAGUCCUUGUGUUCUUA